Molecule: ribosomal RNA, 353 nt
Filed under: uncultured bacterium
Lineage: Bacteria
Description: bacterial SSU rRNA
Rfam family: Bacterial small subunit ribosomal RNA
Source: RNAcentral
AGCGAACGCUGGCGGCAGGCUUAACACAUGCAAGUCGAGCGGGCACUUCGGUGUCAGCGGCAGACGGGUGAGUAACACGUGGGAACGUGCCCUUCGGUUCGGAAUAACUCAGGGAAACUUGAGCUAAUACCGGAUACGCCCUUUGGGGAAAGGUUUACUGCCGAAGGAUCGGCCCGCGUCUGAUUAGCUAGUUGGUGGGGUAAUGGCCUACCAAGGCGACGAUCAGUAGCUGGUCUGAGAGGAUGAUCAGCCACACUGGGACUGAGACACGGCCCAGACUCCUACGGGAGGCAGCAGUGGGGAAUAUUGGACAAUGGGCGCAAGCCUGAUCCAGCCAUGCCGCGUGAGUGAUG